RNAcentral lists this ribosomal RNA (792 nucleotides) under uncultured Acidobacteriota bacterium. RNAcentral's name for it is "bacterial SSU rRNA". It matches the Rfam family "Bacterial small subunit ribosomal RNA", at positions 72 to 845 of the family's 1533-position model. Lineage: Bacteria; Pseudomonadati; Acidobacteriota. The record is from RNAcentral.
UUAUUCAGCAAUGGAUAACUGAGUGGCGAACGGGUGAGUAACACGUGGGUGACCUACCUUCGAGUGGGGGAUAACGUCCCGAAAGGGACGCUAAUACCGCAUAACAUCCUGCCUUUGAACAGGUGGAGAUCAAAGCCGGGGAUCGCAAGACCUGGCGCUUGAUGAGGGGCCCGCGCCUGAUUAGCUAGUUGGUGAGGUAACGGCUCACCAAGGCGACGAUCAGUAUCCGGCCUGAGAGGGCGGACGGACACACUGGGACUGAGACACGGCCCAGACUCCUACGGGAGGCAGCAGUGGGGAAUUGUUCGCAAUGGGCGCAAGCCUGACGACGCAACGCCGCGUGGAGGAUGAAGGUCUUCGGAUUGUAAACUCCUGUUGCUCGGGACGAAAAGCUUCGACCUAACACGUCGAAGUCUGACGGUACCGAGUGAGGAAGCCCCGGCUAACUCUGUGCCAGCAGCCGCGGUAAUACAGAGGGGGCAAGCGUUGUUCGGAAUUACUGGGCGUAAAGGGCGCGUAGGCGGCCUGCUAAGUCGAACGUGAAAUCCCUGGGCUCAACCCAGGAACUGCGUCCGAUACUGGUUGGCUUGAAUCCGGGAGAGGGAUGUGGAAUUCCAGGUGUAGCGGUGAAAUGCGUAGAUAUCUGGAGGAACACCGGUGGCGAAGGCGACAUCCUGGACCGGUAUUGACGCUGAGGCGCGAAAGCCAGGGGAGCAAACGGGAUUAGAUACCCCGGUAGUCCUGGCCCUAAACGAUGAAUGCUUGGUGUGGCGGGUAUCGAUCCCUGCCGUG